This 472-nucleotide ribosomal RNA is filed under the name uncultured bacterium. RNAcentral describes it as "bacterial SSU rRNA". It matches the Rfam family "Bacterial small subunit ribosomal RNA", at positions 8 to 525 of the family's 1533-position model. The record is from RNAcentral.
AGGGUUUGAUUAUGGCUCAGAACGUACGCUGGCGGCACGCCUUAUACAUGCAAGUCGAACGAAGUAGCAAUACUUAGUGGCAGACGGGUGAGUAACAUGUAGGUACCUUCCCUUUGGUGAGGAAUAACACGAGGAAACUUGUGCUAAUACCUCAUAAGUCUUUACGGAGAAAGCUUUAUGCGCCGAAGGAUGAGCCUGCACUUGAUUAGUUUGUUGGUGGGGUAAUGGCCUACCAAGACUGUGAUCUAUAGCUGAUCUGAGAGGAUGAUCAGCCACAUUGGGACUGAGACACGGCCCAAACUCCUACGGGAGGCAGCAGUAGGGAAUAUUGCACAAUGGAGGAAACUCUGAUGCAGCGAUGCCGCGUGAGUGAAGAAGGCCUUUGGGUUGUAAAGCUCUUUCGUCGGGGAAGAAAAUGACUGUACCCGAAUAAGAAGGUCCGGCUAACUUCGUGCCAGCCGCCGCGGUAAUA